GUUCUGAAAAUUGGAUCGGAUCAGUCGGUCAAACCGGUUUGACUGUGAUUUUAGUGGUUCGAUUCAUCAUGUGAAACAAUUAAUUAAAAAAUCAGAAGUAAACUGCUUAAUAAGACAGGAACCGGUCGGUCAGACUCGACAGAAAAUCGGCCGGUUUUGAUGAAAUGACGCUGUUUCGAACUUUCGAUUGAAAAAAUUGAUUCUGAAAGCAGAAGCCCCCCAUCUCCUUCUCCAAAGUCCAAUCUCCUUCCUUCAACUGCCCUCUGCCCCUCACCCAACCUCAACCAAAGAAAAACCCUAGCCUCUCUUCGUUUGUCCGUCCAUCGAGCCACUGCCGCCGUCCGUCGCACACAAGGGCUUUGCUAUUCGUCCUAUCGGCGUUCUCCAAGUCUCCAACCCUUGUUCUCUUCUUCCGCGAGCUCGGCAUCUGUCGUCUGGUCAGCGUCGUCCAUCGCAGCCAAUGGUCUCUGACAUACUCUGCCCAAACUUUGAAGGGACAAUUCACGGUGAGUUUUAGCCUGGGCCUCGCUGAAUCAGGCUCCGUAUGCGCCUCGUACGGAUUCAAGUGGUGUCACAAGUUAUUGGUGACGCGUGUUACAAUUUUUUUGAAACUUGCCAAAUAGUACAUAUCCUAUCAACCAGCUAAUUGUUGAAGACGUUUUUAGUAAAAUAGUGAUUCAUUCCUCACAUUUGGAUUCGUACGUAAUUACUGAAAAUGUAGAUAUGUGAAGUUAAAUAUGAAAAUAAUUUUUUGUGGAUAGACUUUUUUAAGCAACCUAAUUUGGGCUUGGGCUUAUUCUCAUUUGUAGGCUAGUAAUUGUUAGCCCAUUAGUAGUUGAAUAAUAAUUUUUAUUCACAUUUAUUCAACUUCUGACCCGUUAAAACUCUAACCCAUUUAGAAUUUCAAAAGGAAUGCAUUUACAAGUGAAAAAAAGGAAACCUGAAACAAACAAUAACCUCAACCCCAAACCCGACCCGGCAUUCAAACUUGCGUAUCCCUCUCCUCUUGGGCGGAGUUGUGAUCGACAACGGUUUCACCUACCGUCGCCCCUCACCAGUCUGCGAUCGUCUCCUUUUUAUCACGUUUGCAACACCUGCUCGUCCUCAUCCUCCUCGGCGGCACUGAACCAGUAACCAGUCUUCUCGUCAUCAAAACUCUUCACACGUGUGGAACCAUCUUCGAAGUUCCUAGUCCCUGAAUCUAUUGAAUAUUCAGGUGGUGCCUCCGAUGAAGAUUCAAACUUUUGAGAGAGGAGCAGGCGCCGCACUCCGAUGAAGACGCAGAUAACCGAUUUCAGCGACGGCGACGCAACCCCAUGACAACGACAUCCAGUGAAGACAGAAGACUUGCUGGGGGAUGACAGUGGCUCUUCCGGAGAAAGAAAUCAGCCUGGCAGCACCGAAUCAAGAGGCCAUUGAUAAAUGAUGAGUGGCCUUUACUUCUUUUCUUUUUUUAUUAUUAUUUUUUCUUUGGCCCUGCCUUCUUUUUUUUUAAUCUUGAAGUAUUUGGGCAAGAUUCGGCUUGCGAAUUCGGGAACGUUCCAGAUGAUGAAGCUAUUGCUGUUAUCGCUCCACGAAACAACCGAAUUAGUGGGCGAGUCAUC
Molecule: non-coding RNA, 1604 nt
Organism: Arachis ipaensis
Lineage: Eukaryota; Viridiplantae; Streptophyta; Magnoliopsida; Fabales; Fabaceae
Source: RefSeq, a predicted model, not a curated record